GUGGGGAAUAUUGGACAAUGGGCGAAAGCCUGAUCCAGCCAUGCCGCGUGUGUGAAGAAGGUCUUCGGAUUGUAAAGCACUUUAAGUUGGGAGGAAGGGCAGUAAGUUAAUACCUUGCUGUUUUGACGUUACCGACAGAAUAAGCACCGGCUAACUUCGUGCCAGCAGCCGCGGUAAUACGAAGGGUGCAAGCGUUAAUCGGAAUUACUGGGCGUAAAGCGCGCGUAGGUGGUUUUGUAAGUUGGAGGUGAAAUCCCCGGGCUCAACCUGGGAACUGCCUCCAAAACUGCAUGACUAGAGUACGGUAGAGGGUAGUGGAAUUUCCUGUGUAGCGGUGAAAUGCGUAGAUAUAGGAAGGAACACCAGUGGCGAAGGCGACUACCUGGACUGAUACUGACACUGAGGUGCGAAAGCGUGGGGAGCAAACAGGAUUAGGAACCCCAGUAGUCC
Molecule: ribosomal RNA, 450 nt
Filed under: uncultured bacterium
Lineage: Bacteria
Description: partial 16S ribosomal RNA
Rfam family: Bacterial small subunit ribosomal RNA
Source: RNAcentral